GGGCCCAUAGCUCAGUUGGCAGAGCAGCCGGCUCAUAACCGGUCGGUCCCUGGUUCGAGCCCAGGUGGGCCCA
RNAcentral lists this transfer RNA (73 nucleotides) under Candidatus Dadabacteria bacterium. Its description in RNAcentral is "tRNA-Met". It matches the Rfam family "tRNA". Rfam says of the family: Transfer RNA (tRNA) molecules are approximately 80 nucleotides in length. Their secondary structure includes four short double-helical elements and three loops (D, anti-codon, and T loops). Lineage: Bacteria; Pseudomonadati; Thermodesulfobacteriota; Candidatus Dadabacteria. The record is from RNAcentral.